Molecule: long non-coding RNA, 381 nt
Filed under: Salvia miltiorrhiza (redroot sage)
Lineage: Eukaryota; Viridiplantae; Streptophyta; Magnoliopsida; Lamiales; Lamiaceae
Description: long non-coding RNA (SMIL_LNC010262)
Source: RNAcentral
UGAGGUAGUGUUGGAUUUUUUUUUUAGGGAAAGCCCAAAACUUUGAAGGUGGAUGUGUUUCUUUCACUCAUAUAUAAAAUGGAUACCAAUUUUCAGAGGUGCGUCGUUUUCGGUUCUAUCAUAUUAGGAUUUUAAAUAAUCUUGGUGGGUGGAGGAUUUUGAAUCCUAUGUCUCAUUUUUCAUAAGUUUCAUUUACGUUUUUUUUUUUUCAAGUAGUUAAUAGUAAUUCAUAACCUCAAUUUCCACGUUUUUAUUUUAUAUUAACUCUAGUUUGUUUUUUUAAUAUUUUAAGCUUUACAAAUUUAUGUGUGCGUGUGUUGGCCAAGCGGUAAGGGGUUAAUGCCCAAGGCCAAAGGUCUUGGGUUCGAGUUUCUGUGGCGC